Molecule: long non-coding RNA, 1289 nt
Filed under: Anas zonorhyncha (Eastern spot-billed duck)
Lineage: Eukaryota; Metazoa; Chordata; Aves; Anseriformes; Anatidae
Description: lncRNA (ENSAZOG00000013695.1)
Source: RNAcentral
AUGGAAACCCGGCGAGCCCUUGCCCCCGCCGGAGCCGGGGACGAGGCGAGCAGCCGGGGCGACCGGGGGCUGCAAGGCGGCCGCUGGCCACCGGGGGGCUUCAUUUCCCCUCGCAAGGACUCAGCCGGGAGCUGCUUCCCCAGAAACGGCGAGCCCGGCUUCCCUCCUCCUCCUCCUCCUCCUUUCGCUUUUAGGGCAGGCUUUCCCCACGGAAAGGCGUCUCGCCCACCCCCCGUUUAUUCCUGGGGCAAGCCGGCCCCAAACGUUGGCUUAAAACCCUUUUACAAAAUCCUAUUCCCGAGUGCUUUUCAAAUGAGGCCACCACAAUUAACCCUAUUGAACCGCUGCUGCGAAGACUUUCCAGGCGUGCUCAUAACCACAGCUGCUGUGCCUCAGCCGGGCACACAGUCCCGUUUCCAACACUUUCAAGCCGAGGCUGGAGCCAAAAACAAAACAGCGGGAAGCCCCCAUAUUAGACAAGGUUUUUUGGUUACAGGAGCUGCUGCCGCCUUGAAGGGUGGAAGAAAAUCAUCUGGAAGCAUUUGGGAACUGCCCUGCUGUGGUCAAAAUGGCUGGGGAUCACUGAAGAGCUGAAAUGAGGGGAGGCAGCAGUUGGCAAGAGAUGGGACAGGCAGCAGGGAGAGGGAGAGCAGAGUUUCUGAAGUAACACGCAGCCUAGAGAGCUGUCACAGGUUUGAGAUCGGCUCCUGUCCUUCCUCGGAGAAAAACGUUCCCAGUGAUCUGGAAGAGCGAGGGGGCUAACGGAGGCCUCCAAUUUUAGAAAUGUCUCUCGUCUCCGUAAUCCCUCAAUUUUUAUAACAUUUUUCUAGGUAUGACAUUAUACAAACUGCGUUAACUGACAAAUCCUCCGUUUGCAUUAGAUUUAAGUGGCUUCCCUCCCAUCACUCCUCACUGUUAAAAAUACAUUACAGAAAUUACUAUCCUGCCUAGGAAAAUGUGUGAUGACUCUGGUGUCUGUCGUUUAUUUCUAAAACAUUUUGGCACUUUUCCUGCCAGGUUGUCUUCUCCCUUCAGCUUUGAGUGAGGGAAGGGAAAGUGCAGAGGUAGGGCCAGAUUUUUCCAUUUCCCCGGUUAUUGCAUGCAUGCCUUGCAGCCCCCACUACAGGCAUGGUGGGAGCUAAAUGCAGGGCAGAAGAAGUAAAAUCGUCGGGAGGAAAGGCAUAUAGCACACAGAAACCACACUUCAGGCUGCUGUAAGAGUGGCUGUAUCGAAAAUACUGCCUGGGAUCUUGUCUCCCUACAGCGGCCAAUAUUUACAGAGAAACUAU